RNAcentral lists this transfer RNA (74 nucleotides) under Planctomycetia bacterium. Its description in RNAcentral is "tRNA-Val". It matches the Rfam family "tRNA". Rfam says of the family: Transfer RNA (tRNA) molecules are approximately 80 nucleotides in length. Their secondary structure includes four short double-helical elements and three loops (D, anti-codon, and T loops). Lineage: Bacteria; Pseudomonadati; Planctomycetota; Planctomycetia. The record is from RNAcentral.
GGGCGACUAGCUCAGUUGGUUAGAGCGUUGCUUUCACACGGCAAAGGCCUCCGGUUCGAGUCCGGAGUCGCCCA